AAAAUUGUAAUCUUCUGAUUGAACAAUGAAGGUACUUAGUUCUUACUUUAUGGUGAAGCUCGAACUUUAAGCUAAGUCUAUUUUUGGAUCUUAUUACAAAAAGGUGUUAAGUAACUAUAAAAGGUAAAUGAAUCACAAAAAGGUUAAAUAACUAACAAAAGGUGAACUUAACAAAGAAGUGUUAAGUAACUCAAAAGAUAUAAUCUAAUCAAAGAAGAUGAGAACUAAAGAAUGGGCAGUCCUGGAGGAAAGCCUCUGAUGUAAUUGGUAGAUGUGAAAAUUUAGAGGAGGGGACACAAGAGUAAAAGGUCUAUAUAUCUCAUAUCACUUGCUCUCUCUAGGACCUUUGGUGGCAGAGAGGUGGCUGGUGGCAGCAUGCUGUGCCUUUCAGCAUCUUGGCAUGGCUACAGCUAUUGUCUGGUUUUGGUGGUCUCCCACUUCUGACUUGAAGACUGCCAAGAGUACAAGACCAUUAGAAAUCAGUAGAAGACAAUAGAAGUGAAAAGAACUCUGAGUUCAAAGACAAGAGACUUGGGUUGUAUGAGGGCAAUGAGACCUGUGGUUUUCUUCUUCUAAGGAGUUAAUAUGGCUAAAGUUGCCUUUAGGAAGCAUGUACAAGUUUGGAGAGCUCAUGCAUCUGGACUGGUGCUCCUUAAUUGGUUAUCAUGCUGUAGCUGCAUAGUUGAUAAUAGUGGAGAAGGGAGAAGGAGAGAGCCAGAUGUGACUUGUAUUUGACCUAUUUCAGCUGGAUAUAUAAUGCUCUACUGAAACAUCCAGAGGCAGGACUAACUACCCCAAAAUAAAACCCUGGAAAGGAUGCUAUCA
This 825-nucleotide long non-coding RNA is filed under the name Monodelphis domestica (gray short-tailed opossum). RNAcentral's name for it is "lncRNA (ENSMODG00000042384.1)". Lineage: Eukaryota; Metazoa; Chordata; Mammalia; Didelphimorphia; Didelphidae. The record is from RNAcentral.